Molecule: non-coding RNA, 24 nt
Filed under: Arabidopsis thaliana (thale cress)
Lineage: Eukaryota; Viridiplantae; Streptophyta; Magnoliopsida; Brassicales; Brassicaceae
Source: RNAcentral
GCAUAACUUGGGACUUACCUUUAG